GAGUCAUGUCAAGGUGAGUUCAGGUCUCCAUCCAUCAUUCUUAACCUUUCUUGCAAGUUGGCUGAUGAAGACAAGGAUCUCAUGAUUUCCACUAUGACGAUUUCCCAGGCGCAGUCACUGUAUUCCUUCUCUUUCAGGUAGACAUGGAUGCCCUGGAAGUACUUCUUCACGGCCAGUGUGGGGCCCAUCCUUCCCAGGGCAGAGUCUUCCUCUCCUGUCACCGGGCCCAGGCAGGCGUCCAGGUCAUCCAGCUGCUGAUGGAGUCCAGUGCGGAGCUGUUCCAGGAGGGUGGUGUCCCAGGCAGCAGAGGAGCGCUCUGUGUGGAAGAGGUUGAAGCUCUGCUGGAGCAUCUCAUGGAGCACAGAGAUGGCCUGGGCCUCCUGGAGCUGGCCACCCUCCACCAUCUCCUGGGGAGAUGCAAAGACACCAUGAUGGAAUUUAAGAACUUCCCUGGAUUGCAUUGUCCCCAGGCACCUCUUGCCCUGCUCUGUGAUAACUUGCUGGGUCCUAAGGAAGAAAGAAGUCUGCAGCUGUGA
This 536-nucleotide long non-coding RNA is filed under the name Bos indicus x Bos taurus (hybrid cattle). RNAcentral describes it as "lncRNA (ENSBIXG00000010004.1)". The record is from RNAcentral. Lineage: Eukaryota; Metazoa; Chordata; Mammalia; Artiodactyla; Bovidae.